RNAcentral lists this non-coding RNA (21 nucleotides) under Caenorhabditis elegans. The record is from RNAcentral. Lineage: Eukaryota; Metazoa; Nematoda; Chromadorea; Rhabditida; Rhabditidae.
UGGGUGUUCUAUGGUGCACUU